GAUGAACGCUGGCGGCGUGCUUAACACAUGCAAGUCGAACGAUGAAGCCCAGCUUGCUGGGUGGAUUAGUGGCGAACGGGUGAGUAACACGUGAGUAACCUGCCCUUAACUCUGGGAUAAGCCUGGGAAACUGGGUCUAAUACCGGAUAGGAGCGUCCACCGCAUGGUGGGUGUUGGAAAGAUUUAUCGGUUUUGGAUGGACUCGCGGCCUAUCAGCUUGUUGGUGAGGUAAUGGCUCACCAAGGCGACGACGGGUAGCCGGCCUGAGAGGGUGACCGGCCACACUGGGAACGAGGCAAGGCCCAGGCUCCCACGGGGAGGCGGCAUAGGGAAUUAUGCACCAAGGGCGGCAGCCCGAUUGCGCCGCCCCGGCGGGGGGAUGACGGCCUUCGGGUUGUAAACCUCUUUCAGUAGGGAAGAAGCGAAAGUGACGGUACCUGCAGAAGAAGCACCGGCUAACUACGU
This 465-nucleotide ribosomal RNA is filed under the name uncultured bacterium. RNAcentral describes it as "partial 16S ribosomal RNA". It matches the Rfam family "Bacterial small subunit ribosomal RNA", at positions 28 to 506 of the family's 1533-position model. The record is from RNAcentral.